RNAcentral lists this transfer RNA (72 nucleotides) under Bos taurus (domestic cattle). It matches the Rfam family "tRNA". From Rfam's summary of the family: Transfer RNA (tRNA) molecules are approximately 80 nucleotides in length. Their secondary structure includes four short double-helical elements and three loops (D, anti-codon, and T loops). Lineage: Eukaryota; Metazoa; Chordata; Mammalia; Artiodactyla; Bovidae. RNAcentral also lists the same sequence under 3 other names. The record is from Rfam by way of RNAcentral.
UCCCUGAUAGUUCAGUUGGUAAAGAAUCUGCCUGCAAUGCAGGAGACCUGGGUUCAAUUCCUGGGUUGGGAA